CUUCAGCACGCCACGUGUGUCGUCAUCACGUGGGUGUGGCCAAUCACGUGCGCUCACUAGUGUCGCUGGGUCUCAGAGCUGCUCGCUUUUGUUGAUGAUCUAAGCGCAGGUGCGCGCUUCUGCAUCUUCAUUUCGCAGAGAUGGCAGUGAUCUAAAACUAUCAAGGACUGGAGACCACCACAAAAAAAGCCAAAGAAGAAAACAAAGGAAACUCUCAGACGAGGAAGACCAUUCUGCAUCAAGUUAAAGCUUCUGAUCAGGAUAAAAUCAUGGAAACAAG
Long non-coding RNA from Cyprinus carpio (common carp), 280 nucleotides. RefSeq lists it as uncharacterized. The transcript is spliced from 3 exons. The record is from RefSeq and is a predicted model, not a curated record. NCBI's taxonomy places the organism in Eukaryota, Metazoa, Chordata, Actinopteri, Cypriniformes, Cyprinidae.